UGAGAAAUGCAUUAGAGGGUAGCCGUACAGUACAGAAUACAUAUCCCAUUGCUCUGGACAGAAGUGUAGAAAAGCACAACCACACUGAUUGUGUUCUGUGAGUACAUCCUUAGACGAUAAAUUACUCUACAAAUUCCAAGAUGAUCCAACAUGAUAUAAAGAAUGAUCCUGGCCGAGAUUCUCACAAUAGUAUGGUCAACCUGAGUCAUCGAAAAUGGUUUAGAGACACUUAGAUAAGUGGUUGAAAUAUAUAAGCAAUAAAGAAAGUACAUGCACAUGACAAGAGACCAAUUCCAAUUGGAUUUCUUGCACAAACAAAGAUACAUGAUACAAAGCCUUUUUACAAAGCAAGUUGAUAACUUUCGGCAAACCUUGUGGAUGAACCCAAUAAGAAACUAAAACUUUGAAACCAUAUUCUGCUAGGUUUCUUUAAUCCUUUUCAACAUGAGAAUGCAAGAAACUCAUUUCCUUGUGAAACCUUAGACGUUAAUGGAUACCCCAUCAAGCUAGCAUACACAGUUCAUCUAUAAAAUCUACUCCUAUUAACUAAAUCAAGCUAGCAUAGACAAUUUAUAUCCAAAUAGGAUUACAUCUCUUGGGGUCUGGUUACCCAAAUCCAACCAGAGAUCCUCACAUGAGUUGGGGGUGUAGAAGAGCAAAAUGAGCUUACUUGCAAGAAGAAGCCAGAGUCCAGGGUCAGGCAAGUGUUAGACAUGUCGUCACGCGCACCAUUGCGGCUUCUGAUCCAUAUCCCCUGCUUCGCCGUAUGAUGCCACCUGAAAAUAGUGUAAUUUACUGGGAGGGAAAAAACACUGCCUUUCAUACCCGGGUGGGAGGGAAAAAGUCAAUUAGUGUAGAAAAGAGAGACUCUUCUUGAAAGAACAUCCAAUUUUACGGGUCAGUGGCAAAGAAACAAUACAAACAAAACAAGGAAUAAACAAUUAGUGCAGAAAAGAUAGACAUUAAUAUCUUGAGAGUACUUAAUUGCACUACCUAUAUAUUCACACUCACAUAUGUAGUCGAUUUUUUUAAAUUGAAACAUUAUUGGCAUCACUACAUAAAAGUGAAGAAAUGAAACUUUUUGAUGCAAUGAACUUAUAUCUGCAACUUCAGUAGACCACAUAUGCAAUCUCGUUGGUGCGAACUUACUGACCAAGAGACAAAUUGAAAUAAACCGCCACUAAAUUCAGAUAGCAUAUAUAGGUUCAUAUGGCGGUACACAGGUAUGAAUAGAAGUCAAAUACACUAUGGAAAGUAUAGGUUCAUUCUACGCCACCAUAUGUUAUUUUGCAUCUACUGAGACACGCCAGCGUCACCAACUUUCCUUGCAACAAUGGCAGUAAAAAUUGUUCAAAAUUUACCUUUAGUAGUACAAAGAGCAAGCAGAUCAGCGGCCAAUUGCUUGCAUGAUGACAACCGCUGAACUGACAGUGUUCUUGACAGCAAUUACAUGAGUCUGCAAAAAGUGCAAAUAAAAAUUGUUUCACAUUUUUUAGACAAAACAUGAGUAAAUCAUUGUCAUCGACAAAUAAAACAUUCAAUGUGUUGCAGGUUUCCAUACGAGAGCAGAAGAAAUUCCAUUAUAGUGAUAGCUUCCAAUAUCUAUGUACGUUCCUUGACUGAAUACAACAGGAAGAGCAUAAAUCUGCUGUUAAUCAAGAGAAUGAGGCUAAGACUGACCAUGGACUUUCAAGUAGUAAACCACGAUUCCAGAUUUAUGACCCUAAUAGAUCAAGAAAGAGGGGAGAAUAGGGUUUUGCACGAGAAUAAUACCUUCCAUAGGAGCCCAAAAUAAUAAUUCUUGCAUCGCAUGGUUCAACAUCUUCAGCUUGAAGUCGUUCGUGAUCCUCCGACAACAACCAUGAAACGAAAAAAAAAAUCAAAACCCAAAGUAAAGGAUUGCAAAAAUGCCACCACAAGUAGAAAUGUACACAUACAAAAAAUACGAUGCCAUCUCACCGAGGCUGGAAGGGGCAAGAAGUUACUGGAGUUUUCCGUGUGGCGGCGAUGCUUGCUGCUCCUACACCCAUCCAACCAAAGCAAGGGAACAUUUCUGUAGGUCAAAUAAAAUAGUCUAAGAAAACAUGCAACUAUAUACAACAUCAGUGGGAAGUAAACUAACAUAGUCCUCUCUGAAGCAAGCAUGUAGCAACAAUGAGCAUAAAAGAGACACGGGAGAUGCAUAACUGAGAUUAAAAUCAACCUUUUCAUCUUAUUGGCUCUGCACUGGAAGAGGAAAACACAAC
Molecule: long non-coding RNA, 2246 nt
Filed under: Triticum aestivum (bread wheat)
Lineage: Eukaryota; Viridiplantae; Streptophyta; Magnoliopsida; Poales; Poaceae
Description: long non-coding RNA (TAES_LNC004930)
Source: RNAcentral